AUCGAUGUAGUGGCUCAUGCGCUGGCCCAUUUGCCGCCCUCCGACUUUGCCGGUGUGCGACGGGAUGAGGCCGAUGCUGAGCAUCUUCUGCGCCCACUGCUCGUUGUGGUAGCAGUCCCCGCUAACGGNNNNNNNNNNCACAGAUGCACCAUUUCGUGUACCAGCGUGGACAGGGUUUCCUUGUCACCGAGCGCGAAAUGCAGGGGAUUGAGUGCGAUCUCGUCGGCGAAGAUCACGCCGUCGUAUGACGUGAACUUCUUGUGAGAGAAGUAGCCCAUCGAUCCCGUCUUG
Molecule: unclassified non-coding RNA, 291 nt
Filed under: Hevea brasiliensis (rubber tree)
Lineage: Eukaryota; Viridiplantae; Streptophyta; Magnoliopsida; Malpighiales; Euphorbiaceae
Source: RNAcentral